AACGAUGAAACUUAAAAGAUUUCUUCGGAAUGACCUUAAGUGGAUUAGUGGCGAACGGGUGAGUAACGCGUGAGUAACCUACCUUACACAAGGGGAUAGCCUCUGGAAACGGAGAAUAAUACCCUAUGAAACUAUCUUAUCGCAUGAAAAGAUGGUCAAAGUGUUUUAGCGGUGUAAGAUGGACUUGCGUCUGAUUAGCUAGUUGGUGAGAUAACAGCCCACCAAGGCAACGAUCAGUAGCCGGCUUGAGAGAGUGUACGGCCACAUUGGGACUGAGACACGGCCCAGACUCCUACGGGAGGCAGCAGUGGGGAAUUUUGCACAAUGGGGGCAACCCUGAUGCAGCGACGCCGCGUGAUUUAGAAGGCCUUCGGGUUGUAAAAAUCUUUUGUAUAGGAAGAAAAUGACAGUACUAUACGAAUAAGGUCCGGCUAAUUACGUGCCAGCAGCCGCGGUAAUACGUAAGGACCGAGCGUUGUCCGGAAUCAUUGGGCGUAAAGGGUACGUAGGCGGUUAGAAAAGUUAGAAGUGAAAGGCUAUAGCUCAACUAUAGUAAGCUUUUAAAACUGUUUAACUUGAGAGAUGGAAGGGAAAGUGGAAUUCCUAGUGUAGCGGUGAAAUGCGCAGAUAUUAGGAGGAAUACCGGUGGCGAAGGCGACUUUCUGGCCAUUAUCUGACGCUGAGGUACGAAAGCGUGGGUAGCAAACAGGAUUAGAUACCCUGGU
Molecule: ribosomal RNA, 725 nt
Filed under: uncultured Anaerococcus sp.
Lineage: Bacteria; Bacillati; Bacillota; Tissierellia; Tissierellales; Peptoniphilaceae
Description: bacterial SSU rRNA
Rfam family: Bacterial small subunit ribosomal RNA
Source: RNAcentral